This 431-nucleotide ribosomal RNA is filed under the name uncultured bacterium. RNAcentral describes it as "partial 16S ribosomal RNA". It matches the Rfam family "Bacterial small subunit ribosomal RNA", at positions 29 to 507 of the family's 1533-position model. The record is from RNAcentral.
AACGAACGCUGGCGGCAGGCUUAACACAUGCAAGUCGAGCGCCCCGCAAGGGGAGCGGCAGACGGGUGAGUAACGCGUGGGAACGUACCUUUUGGUUCGGAACAACUCCGGGAAACUGGAGCUAAUACCGGAUAAGCCCUAACGGGGAAAGAUUUAUCGCCGAAAGAUCGGCCCGCGUCUGAUUAGCUAGUUGGUGAGGUAACGGCUCACCAAGGCGACGAUCAGUAGCUGGUCUGAGAGGAUGAUCAGCCACACUGGGACUGAGACACGGCCCAGACUCCUACGGGAGGCAGCAGUGGGGAAUAUUGGACAAGGGGCGCAAGCCUGAUCCAGCCAUGCCGCGUGAGUGAUGAAGGCCUUAGGGUUGUAAAGCUCUUUUGUCCGGGAAGAUAAUGACUGUACCGGAAGAAUAAGCCCCGGCUAACUUCGUG